Molecule: non-coding RNA, 123 nt
Organism: Picea glauca (white spruce)
Lineage: Eukaryota; Viridiplantae; Streptophyta; Pinopsida; Pinales; Pinaceae
Source: Rfam
AUGUACACGCCUACAACAUAGCAUUAAUGCAACAGAUCCCAUUAGACCUUCGUAGUUAAGUGCACUUGGGAUAGAGUAGUACUGGGAUGGGUGACCACUCAAGAAGUCCUAGUAUUUUACAUU